AGUAAAAUACCUUAUUUAAAAGGGUCACCUUGAUGCGGUGAACACGUUAACAACUUUUACUU
RNAcentral lists this transfer RNA (62 nucleotides) under Gammarus duebeni. RNAcentral describes it as "tRNA-Ile". The record is from RNAcentral. Lineage: Eukaryota; Metazoa; Arthropoda; Malacostraca; Amphipoda; Gammaridae.